Molecule: non-coding RNA, 26 nt
Filed under: Rattus norvegicus (Norway rat)
Lineage: Eukaryota; Metazoa; Chordata; Mammalia; Rodentia; Muridae
Source: RNAcentral
UGCAGCCAUUGUAUGACCAGGAGAAA